UUCAAUCUCUCUCUCUCUCUCUCUCUCUCUCUCCUGUCAACGUAGACGCGUUUGCCACCACCGCUCGUUCUGCCGGCGCACGAUCACCACCGAUUUAUAAAUGUGACCAAUGGUUCUGAGGCCUUUUGUUCUGGUGAGAUCGAAGCGACUAGUUUCUCCCUUAAUUCCCUGUAAUUUGUUCACCGGUAACGAUUUCCAAGGUGUGGAGAAGGAGGCAGAGGAGCUGAUUAAGAGGCCGUUUGUUCCUGCAAGAUCGAAGCGUUGGUCAGAUGACGAUUUCUUCUUACGACUACAGCGGUGGCGUCUCCGACGAAGGCUCCUAAUCUUAAUUAGAAGAUGAGCUUUUCAUCACCUGGAGCUCUACAAGAUUUAGAUUUUCGAAGUUAUGGAGCAAUUGCUACACCCGAGCCAACGGUGUUGAAAUUUGAAAAUGGAGAGACUGUGAUUGCUAAUGAUGAGAUAGCAAAGAUUCAGUGAUUGCUAAUGAUGAGAUAGCAAAGAUCCGGCAUAAAUUUGAUGCCGCAAAGCAGAGUUUCCUUAAGAUUCCACAGGCACUCAAAGAAAUGCCUAAGAUAAAUCUGAAAGAAUUCUCUCCUUUGCAUUUGCAGUGGUAGAUUCUAAAAAUUAUGUGAAUUUGAGUAGUGACGCCUCCAUUGACAAGAGAUCAUUCGGCCAACUAAGAAAUGUUGAAAUGAAGUCUGGUCCUGAAGGUGGCAAAAUAAUGUCCAUGGUUACUGUAAUGUGGUAGAGCUUGACAACAAGAAACAUCAACGGAGGCCAUCUGAAAAAUGACAGUAGCAUUACAACAUUGACAGUGGCUUUAUACAACUAUGUAGCUUCUGUGACCUUGUCGGAUGUUGCCGGAAAUCUCACCAGAGUAGCUUUUGUUGCUAGUGACAGUAGCUUUUCUGAUCUUGCCGGAAGUUGCCGAAAAUCUCACCAAAAUACCUUUUGUUGCUUGUGAUAGUAGCUUUUGUGACCUCGCCGGAGGUUGCCGGAGUUUUACUCGAUUGCCCUGAUUCCGUCGUGCCAUCUGCUCAGUUCUUUGGUUGCCACCGCAUCCAUUUUGGUAGUUGAGAGAGAGAGAGAGAGAGAGAGGAGAGCGUACAGUUCCGUUCUGUUCUGAUGAUCAAAAGUAACUGUUUAAAAAUCGAUGGUCAGAGAUAAAAGCAGCCAAGAGACUUGAUUUUGGGGUUUAUCCAUCCUCUUCAGCUCUAAAGGAUUUUGGUCAAGUAGCGAGGAGACUUGAACUCCAAUUCAGCUUCGGGUGAGUUUUUUGUGGUACACCAGCUGACAGCAUUGUAACUACUGGGUUUUCAAAAGCACUAGAGUUGAAUGAGAUUUUUCAUUGGGUUGGGGUAAUCACUCAGAGGAUCAUAUUAUUGCGAACUAGACUGAGUUGAGAUCAGGUGGUUUGUAAGAGCUAUUGAAAUUUGAGAAAAUAAGAGUGUGGGAAAUGUGAUGCUGAUUGUGGUUGGAGAUAUUUGAGAUUUUGUGGAGGGUUGUUGAAGAGGUAUGGAUCUUGCCUUAGUUUUCGGCAGCCAAAUGUGUUGUGUGGGAGUGAAGGGGAAAGUUCUGAAAAGUUGAAAGUGUUGAUUCGCAUAUUUUUUUUGGGAGUAGAGAUGGUGGGUGUAGCUUUCAGGGUAAUUCAACAGUUGCUGUGAAAGCAUGUUUGGGGAAGAAUGUGAAGAGGCAUGUGUGUUUUAAUGAUUGUUGGGUUUCGCGUUUGGCCUAUAGAGAAAAUGCUGAUGAUUGUUGCUGGAGUUCGAAUAUCAAAAUGCCUUCGUUUCGUAGCUGUUGUAAUGUUUUUAAGGGUCAAGAGUGGUUUGGUGGUCCCGGUGUCAGAGUAAUGACUCAUUAGCCGUCAAUGGGAAUGGUCAGAAUAUAGAAUAUGUAGAAGGUCAUGAUGAGAUCUCGAGUAGGGCCUAUCCAUGAUGAUGAAUUAAGUGGUUCCAGAUAAGAGGAGGGAUCUAGAGACAAAAUAGAGGAAUCAGAGGCCCCUACUGUGGAUGAAUUGAGGGAGUUGUUGCAGAAUGCCAUGAAAGAAUUGGAAGUUGCAUGUUGUAAUAGUACCAUGUUUGAAGAAAAGGCUCAGAAAAUAUCAGAAGCUGCUAUUUCCCUGCAGGAUGAAGCAGUAACUGAUGAUGAAUGAAAGUAAUGGUGAAGUAGUCAGAGAUAAGGUGGUAGUAGUGAUAAAGUAUACGUAUGUCAAAUUGAAAUUGAACUUGAUGAAGAAGAGUAUUUUGAAUUAACAAAGAAUAUACUGAGGCCAAGAACUUGGUUAGUUCGUAUCGGGAGGAAGCUGUCAAGGAAGUGGCUGAGAAGAUAGAGAGGAACUUGAUUCUUCUUGGUGCUAUUGCAGUUGAAGACAAACUUCAAAAUGGGGGACUCGGAACAUGCAAAGCUCAAAGCUGGGGUGGAGGUUUUACAGAGAUAUUGAGAUUAUAAAGAAUGAGAUCUUGAAGCCAAUUACAUAGAUCCAGAAUGCUAAAAACAACAGCUGAAAAUUGAUGGAUCUGCUGUUGAGUUGUCUCCUUGGAGAAGGGCAUUAUGCGCUCCUUAGACGAGCAGAGCUAAAAACAUUGGCGGAUCUGCAUGCGAAUGAGGCAGGGAAAGGUGGAGAGUUGCCACAUCAUGUAACUACGACUAUUGGUGGUGCUUUGGAUUUGACGCAGAAAACUGCUGAAGAUGUUUCGAAUCCAAUGUCAGAAAAUUUUACCCUUGACAUAAACUCCAAACUUCACAUGAAUACACUGGGUCCAAUAAUGAGCAGAGGUCACAGUCGUAUACCAAUAUAUUCAGGAAAUCUAAAUAAUAUGAUUGGCCUCAUUUUGGCAAAAAAUUUGAUCUUCUGUCACCCAGAAGAGGAAACCCCAGUUAAGUACAUGACAAUCAGAAGAAUUCCAAGUGCGUGAUCUGCUCACUGAAGGACUUACGGUGGAGGUGAUACUUUAUCGUGGUUCCAUUCAGCGUUUCAGAAGAAGGAUAAGGCGUUGCAGGAGCAAAAUAAUUUUCUGACAAAAAAAGGUUAGCUACUUGAGCCAUGUGUAUGCAUCUAUGAAGUAUAGGUGAAGGAGAAGGAGAAAACAGUAGCCAGCAGUGCCCCACGGGCACAGGCACAAUGGGAGUAGCUGUAGAGGCACAGCUUGGACUCCUCCUCUAGUAGGACCCUUCUACCUUAGGCAUUGCACUCCUUGAAUUUCGGGUAUGUGCUACUACGUUUGGUUUUGCCUGGAUCAGUUUUUUUGUCCAGUAUAUAGUUGUGAACAUCCAUUUUUUAUCUUUUAAUACAGUUUAUGAUAAUUUUAUCUGAUUCACAGUUGGACACUGAUCUAAUUCAGUUACAUCUUAAAGGUCAACUUAAAGCGGGUAAGUUUAAGCUUGCUGGUUUGUGCUGGUUUUGGGUGAAAUAGAAUAAAAGUCUUGCUUCUCUUUCUCUAAUUAUUAAUCAUGAUGAACUUGGUAGCUUCAAAUUUUUUGUUUUUUUGUUGUUUUUUUUGUCUGCUUUGCUAAGGUAGAAGGCUGUCGUUUUUGUCAAUGCUUUUGUUAGUUCUUUCACUACAGAUUUGUUUUAUUGCUUUAUGAAAUCAAAGAAUUGAAAGUGGUUCUGUACCGGGAUUAUUAUGACACUGGGGAUGAUGUGAAGGGGAUGCAUGGCACAACGUUGAUAGGCCGUUUCCGUGAUGCUCGGGAAGAAUGGUCAACCGCUUUGAUAUGAGUGAUGGGGUUUCUAGAAACAAGCUACUCACGAAUAAACCCCACCUUGAUGGUAAUUUCUUUGGUAAUUCAGUAAUAAUUUAGAUACAUUAUAUGUCAAAAGUUUAGGAGAACAAACUGAGUUGUUCUCUAACUUGAAGCUUAUUGUUUGUUUGAUCUGAUUCUAAGGCAGUUGCAAUUUCGUAGGAAUUGGAGACGAAAACCCAUUUUCAAAAGAUGAAAGAAAUGCAUAAAAUGAAAUUAACUUAAAACACUAUAUUGUUAAUCUUUACAUCAUUCCAUGUCUGCUUGCUCGAAUCAAGGGGUGUAAAUUGAACUUCUAUAAGGCCAGUCUACAUCUUUGGACCAUUGAACUACAAUCCUAUUGAAGAGUGGUUCUUCCACUGGUUGAAAGCUGCCUGCCCAAUUCCAGUUCCAUACUCGGGAAUACAAUUAACACAACUCAGUAAUGUUGAGGAUUUAGCUACUGCAUUUACCCUUCAGCCAAAAACAAAAGACUGGGUUCAGCUAAGCAGAAGUUCUCCUGAUUCAGAUAAGGACGUCAACUCUAUUGAAAUCAGACAUGCUGGGUCUCCGCAGAUAAGUUCCUGUAACUCGGAGACCAAAGAAUCUAAUGACGGACUUGAUGUUGAUGACAUUGAUGUUAUAUGAUGACUACAUAAGAACCCUGUUGUGAAAGAUCAAUGUGGCCUAUUCGUUUCAUUCAUCCCUUAUUGUGAAUAGAUUGUGAAAGGUUUUUAGUCCGAAUUAUUAUUAUUAUUAUUAUUUUUUUUGAAAAUGAGGCUGGGGCGGCUGCCCUCAAGCCUUGAUUAAUUUAGGGGGACUAUGAUUGUACAUGUGGUUUAAUACUGGAUUAUUAAAUACUGGCUUAUUGUUUCUUAUGCAAGGAGA
Rosa chinensis is the source of this 4608-nucleotide long non-coding RNA. RefSeq lists it as uncharacterized. The transcript is spliced from 16 exons. Lineage: Eukaryota; Viridiplantae; Streptophyta; Magnoliopsida; Rosales; Rosaceae. The record is from RefSeq and is a predicted model, not a curated record.